This 301-nucleotide ribosomal RNA is filed under the name uncultured bacterium. Its description in RNAcentral is "partial 16S ribosomal RNA". It matches the Rfam family "Bacterial small subunit ribosomal RNA", at positions 509 to 807 of the family's 1533-position model. The record is from RNAcentral.
CAGUCGCCGCGGGAAUACGAAGGGUGCAAGCGUUACUCGGAAUUACUGGGCGUAAAGCGUGCGUAGGUGGUGGUUUAAGUCCGUUGUGAAAGCCCUGGGCUCAACCUGGGAAUUGCAGUGGAUACUGGGUCACUAGAGUGUGGUAGAGGAUAGUGGAAUUUCCGGUGCAGCAGUGAAAUGCGUAAAGAUCGGAAGGAACAUCUGUGGCGAAGGCGACUAUCUGGGCCAACACUGACACUGAGGCACGAAAGCGUGGGGAGCAAACAGGAUUAGAUACCCCAGUAGUCCCUGUCUCUUAUAC